ACGCUCGACACCUACGGAGGCAGCAGUGGGGAAUAUUGGGCAAUGGAGGCAACUCUGACCCAGCAACGCCGCGUGAAUGAUGAAGGUCUUCGGAUUGUAAAGUUCUGUGACGGGGGACGAACACAAUGACGGUACCCCGAUAGCAAGCCACGGCUAACUACGUGCCCGCAGCCGCGGUAAUCUGAGCGGGCUGGCAAGGC
Molecule: ribosomal RNA, 200 nt
Filed under: uncultured bacterium
Lineage: Bacteria
Description: partial 16S ribosomal RNA
Rfam family: Bacterial small subunit ribosomal RNA
Source: RNAcentral